AGGACGAACGCUGGCGGCGUGCUUAACACAUGCAAGUCGAGCGGUAAGGCCUUUCGGGGUACACGAGCGGCGAACGGGUGAGUAACACGUGGGUGAUCUGCCCUGCACUUCGGGAUAAGCCUGGGAAACUGGGUCUAAUACCGGAUAUGACCUCCUAUCGCAUGGUGGGUGGUGGAAAGAUUUAUCGGUGCAGGAUGGGCCCGCGGCCUAUCAGCUUGUUGGUGGGGUAAUGGCCUACCAAGGCGACGACGGGUAGCCGACCUGAGAGGGUGACCGGCCACGACGUGGGACUGAGACACGGCCCAGACUCCUACGGGAGGCAGCAGGUGGGAAUAGUUGCACAAGUGGGCGAAAGCCUGAUGCAGCGACGCCGCGUGAGGAUGACGGCGUUCGGGUGUAACCUCUUUCGAGCGAGGACGAAGCGACG
RNAcentral lists this ribosomal RNA (427 nucleotides) under uncultured soil bacterium. RNAcentral describes it as "bacterial SSU rRNA". It matches the Rfam family "Bacterial small subunit ribosomal RNA", at positions 26 to 455 of the family's 1533-position model. The record is from RNAcentral.